AGAGUUUGAUCAUGGCUCAGGAUGGACGCUGGCGGCGUGCCUAACACAUGCAAGUCGAACGAAGCAUUUUGGAUGAGGUUUUCGGACGGAUUCCGGGAUGACUGAGUGGCGGACGGGUGAGUAACGCGUGGGCAACCUGCCCUGCACAGGGGGACAACAGCUGGAAACGGCUGCUAAUACCGCAUAAGCGCACAAAGACGCAUGUCUUAGUGUGAAAAGCUCCGGUGGUGCAGGAUGGGCCCGCGUUGGAUUAGGUAGUUGGUGGGGCAACGGCCUACCAAGCCGACGAUCCAUAGCCGACCUGAGAGGGUGACCGGCCACAUUGGGACUGAGACACGGCCCAAACUCCUACGGGAGGCAGCAGUGGGGAAUAUUGCACAAUGGGCGCAAGCCUGAUGCAGCGACGCCGCGUGAGCGAAGAAGUAUUUCGGUAUGUAAAGCUCUAUCAGCAGGGAAGAAAAUGACGGUACCUGCAUAAGAAGCUCCGGCUAAAUACGUGCCAGCAGCCGCGGUAAUACGUAUGGAGCAAGCGUUAUCCGGAUUUACUGGGUGUAAAGGGAGCGUAGACGGGACAGCAAGUCUGAUGUGGAAGGCGGGGGCCCAACCCCUGGACUGCAUUGGAAACUGCUGGCCUUGAGUGCCGGAGAGGUAAGCGGAAUUCCUAGUGUAGCGGUGAAAUGCGUAGAUAUUAGGAGGAACACCAGUGGCGAAGGCGGCUUACUGGACGGCAACUGACGUUGAGGCUCGAAAGCGUGGGGAGCAAACAGGAUUAGAUACCCUGGUAGUCCACGCCGUAACGA
This 800-nucleotide ribosomal RNA is filed under the name uncultured bacterium. RNAcentral's name for it is "bacterial SSU rRNA". It matches the Rfam family "Bacterial small subunit ribosomal RNA", at positions 8 to 809 of the family's 1533-position model. The record is from RNAcentral.